This 426-nucleotide ribosomal RNA is filed under the name uncultured Fusobacterium sp. RNAcentral's name for it is "bacterial SSU rRNA". It matches the Rfam family "Bacterial small subunit ribosomal RNA", at positions 354 to 794 of the family's 1533-position model. The record is from RNAcentral. Lineage: Bacteria; Fusobacteriati; Fusobacteriota; Fusobacteriia; Fusobacteriales; Fusobacteriaceae.
UGGGGGAAUAUUGGACAAUGGACCAAGAGUCUGAUCCAGCAAUUCUGUGUGCACGAUGAAGUUUUUCGGAAUGUAAAGUGCUUUCAGUUGGGAAGAAGAAAGUGACGGUACCAACAGAAGAAGCGACGGCUAAAUACGUGCCAGCAGCCGCGGUAAUACGUAUGUCGCAAGCGUUAUCCGGAUUUAUUGGGCGUAAAGCGCGUCUAGGUGGUUGCAUAAGUCUGAUGUGAAAAUGCGGGGCUCAACUCCGUAUUGCGUUGGAAACUGUGCGACUAGAGUACUGGAGAGGUAAGCGGAACUACAAGUGUAGAGGUGAAAUUCGUAGAUAUUUGUAGGAAUGCCGAUGGGGAAGCCAGCUUACUGGACAGAUACUGACGCUAAAGCGCGAAAGCGUGGGUAGCAAACAGGAUUAGAUACCCUGGUAGU